RNAcentral lists this long non-coding RNA (335 nucleotides) under Danio rerio (zebrafish). RNAcentral's name for it is "lncRNA si:dkey-71b5.6 (ENSDARG00000092801.3)". The record is from RNAcentral. Lineage: Eukaryota; Metazoa; Chordata; Actinopteri; Cypriniformes; Danionidae.
CUCCAUCGCGUCUCUUUAUGAUGGCGGACAGAAACGAUCUUGAGAAACUUGAUUUCGGCGCUUUAAGUCUCGACCAACAGGUGAAGCUACGACAGUUCAAGAUCAAGACAAGAAUUGCCAAUGAAAAAUAUUUGAGGUUUCACCCAGAGGUGGAAAUGUUACUGAGUGACUUUUUAAGAAACGUGUUUCUGAAAAGGCCUGCAGAUGUUCAUGAAUUUGCAGCAGAUCAUUUCAGUGACCCUGGAUUGCCAACAAAAAUUCAGGCCCAAAUAAAAAUCAAUAAUAAGUGAAAGUGUAUAUGUUCUUAAUUUUAUUGUAUAUCUUUUUAAUAAAAG